GAUAACAAAAGCUUUCCUACGCCGCCGGCCGCCGCACCAAUCGAGCAUCUCUGUCCCCGGCCUCGGCGCGGCGCUGUAUCAAGCAGGAACGACCGGUGACGCCCGGUAAGCGAGGCUGCACUGCUGCCAGCGGGCGCAUCCCGACGGGGCGCCGGAGCAACGGGCAACGGCGUGACUGCCGCGGUUCGUCGCUGCGCGAGCGACGGUGCUGGGACGCCCGACGACCCGCGUGCGUCGUGAGCUGCGAGGGAGGCCGCGGCUCGGUUGCUGCCCCGAGUGGUGGUAACUGGUAAGGCAAUCUCUGUAAUGCCUCUUUUGGUUGUCUGAACAAAUUGCUCGGUUUCUACUCUGAGCAGAUUUGAUUUGGCACGCAAUAUUUACCAGCACCCAAACAAAACCGUUGUAUAAUCUGUAUUUCUGUUCCUCCUUUGCUCAUGCAAUAUAAUUUAUUUCUCAAGCUAACUUUGGUAGUAGAAAUUAGCACGAUAAAAAAAAUUACAUGUCUGUAGCUGGCAGAUGUGGAUCAGCUGAGACAUCAGAUUAAUUCUUAUUCUUAAUAUAUGAAUCAGAUUUACAGUGACAUUGUGAUGCAUGUCGUGCCAUUUAAGUGUUGUGCCGGUUUGUGAUUUAUACCCUCAAUCAUAGUGUCUUCAUCAUGUGCUAGUUGUAUUUAUCUAUGGCCCACUUUCAAUACUACUACUGUUUCUCUUUAUUGUUAAUUAUUGAUCACUAUUCUAUUUCAGAUUCAAGUAUUCUCACGGGCACUAUGCAUUUGUGGUCAUAGAUGGAUUAAUUGCAUUUGCAAUGGCUGGUGGAGUUGCAAUACAAUUUUGCUGAUUUGCUUCUGGAUAGGGAAUUUAUCAUCUAUACUACAGGAACAUAUCUCCAAAAGAAGAUCCACCAAAAUUUGGGCACUAAAUAAGGACUCCUGGUUCCUAAUACAGAAACAUAGUAGACAUCAAGUGCCCAAAUUUUGGUUCUAGACAUCAAUUGUUCUAGUCCUAGUCAAUAUGGCCUUUUUAUUAGACACAGUGCUGAUGAUAAAUUGUUUCUACAAACAUUGCUCAUUGAUUUAAGAAAGUUCUUCUGAUCUAGUGGUGAAAAUUCCAAUACAUACUUCUGGCAGAUUGAGCAAUUGAUGUCUACUAUGUUUCUGUAUACUGUUUAAUCCUGCUACUGAUCAAUAGUACAACCGUGAGCAUUACAUACCACAACCAGCAUUAUAUGCUUUAUAUAGUUCUAUAAGCUUUGCAUUUUGUUCUUUGUCGACUUAAAUAUAUUUUCUAUGGUGUCAACAUGUUUCCUUAUUUAGCGUUUACUCAACAUUUGUACAAAUUAGAUUAGGUAGCAAAUCUGUAGAAGAACAACACAACAACUUGUGCAGAGUGAAAUCUAUGAUAACAAUGUUUACUAUGCUGUUAUUCUUUCCUGUAAUAUUUUUCUCACUGGAGCAUCAUCUCAGUGGUUCUAUUUGGCUGCACAUCAUCUAUUAUAGAAAUAAAGGUCUUAGUGUUAUUUCCCCUACCCAUACUAAAUGUUCCUAUAGCUUGAAUAAAAUAAUAUAUUUGCUGUGCAGCUGCUUUUCCCAGUUGAUUCGAUUAACGUUUCCAUUAUCAUCUAAUUCUUGUUCAACUUUAACUUUUAAGCAUUUCUGGAACCAUUCUUAGGAAAUGCUGAUAAUAGUGUUUGCCUAAUUAACAUACUUUCAAGAAGGUGCAAGAAGCUGGGCUGUAGCAUUCUGCUAUCUCCAGGUUUUAUUAUUACAAACCAAACCACUUGCUUCAGAAGAGAUGGGGCAUCCUCAAUUAUGUAAAGGCAACAAAAUAUUAUGCUGUUUGGCUGUUCCCCUUUCCGCAGCUGACCCGCCGUUGAUUUUCAUCUGUGUUCAGAUUGCAGCUCCAUGCUUUCCUGGCAUUGACACACCUUAUGUGACGCAAAGGAGUCAGAGAUCAAGUGAUUGCAGCCGUGAAUGAAACCCCGCCCUCCUCGUCCACUGCCAGUGCCACCACCGUCGCUCACCAACCCUACAGCUACAGGCGAGCGAGCCCUUUCCGCUGCACUGCAAACUCUGCUCCAAUGCUUGCCGAAUGCCGAGUAAAAGGAGCUGGGCAAGGUGGCGCACGCAGUGCAGUGACAGCGUAGUGAACUGCCAUGCGUAAACGACAGAGGUUUUUGUUUCCUGAGGGUCAUGAUCCAAGAUUUUCAAGCUUCUGAAUGCUGACCCACUCAAGUGGCAGCAAGACUUCUAUAUAUAAAAAGCGUAGUGGCACUGAUUACUGUUGUCUAGGAAUAUUCCCUCGAUCUCUAACGGUUCAAGCUGAGUUAUGAUGUCUGUUGCUUCAUUUAGCAAUGAUAAAACACCGGCCAUGGUCACAGUGAAA
Sorghum bicolor (sorghum) is the source of this 2381-nucleotide long non-coding RNA. RefSeq lists it as uncharacterized. NCBI's taxonomy places the organism in Eukaryota, Viridiplantae, Streptophyta, Magnoliopsida, Poales, Poaceae. The record is from RefSeq and is a predicted model, not a curated record. The transcript is spliced from 2 exons.